This 99-nucleotide transfer RNA is filed under the name Laccaria bicolor S238N-H82. It matches the Rfam family "tRNA". From Rfam's summary of the family: Transfer RNA (tRNA) molecules are approximately 80 nucleotides in length. Their secondary structure includes four short double-helical elements and three loops (D, anti-codon, and T loops). The record is from Rfam by way of RNAcentral. Lineage: Eukaryota; Fungi; Basidiomycota; Agaricomycetes; Agaricales; Hydnangiaceae.
GCCUCCUUGGCUCAGUUGGUUAGAGCGCCUCAUAGAAAUAUGAGUAAUUUUAUGAUUAGGCCAGGCGCGAGGUCGUAAGUUCAAGUCUUGCCAGGGGCA